RNAcentral lists this unclassified non-coding RNA (547 nucleotides) under Aphidius gifuensis. Its description in RNAcentral is "nADH dehydrogenase subunit 6". Lineage: Eukaryota; Metazoa; Arthropoda; Insecta; Hymenoptera; Braconidae. The record is from RNAcentral.
AUUUUUAGAUUAUAUAUAUUAUUUAUUUAUUUUAAUUUAUUUAUGUUUAUUAUUAUUUUAAUUCCUUCAAAUUUAAUUUCUUUCCAUCCUUUAAUUUUUAGAUUAAUAUUAACUUUUUAUAUUAUUUUAAUAAGAUUAGUAAUAAAUUUAAUUAAUAGAAAUUAUUGGUACUCAUAUAUUUUAUUUUUAAUUAUAAUUGGAGGUUUAAUAAUUUUAUUUAUAUACUUUACUAGUAUUGCUAGUAAUAAUUUAAUAAAUUUUAAUUUAAAUUUUAUUAAAUAUUUUUUUUUAAAAUUUAUUUUAUUAAUAAUUUUUUUUUUUAUAAUUACAUUAUUAAGAUUAAAAAAUAUUUAUGAGAUUAAUUUUUUAGAAAUUUUUAGAAUUAUAAAUAAAAACUUUAACUUAAUAGAUUUAACAGCAAAAAAUUUGUAUAUGGAUUUUUCAAUAGAUUUAAAUAUAUUUAUAAUUAUUUAUUUAUUUAUAACUAUAAUUAGAUGUGUUUUAUUAUGUAUAAAAAUUAUAUUACCUUUUCGUCAACUAAAUUGUU